This 253-nucleotide ribosomal RNA is filed under the name uncultured bacterium. Its description in RNAcentral is "partial 16S ribosomal RNA". It matches the Rfam family "Bacterial small subunit ribosomal RNA", at positions 524 to 776 of the family's 1533-position model. The record is from RNAcentral.
UACGGAGGAGGCAAGCGUUAUCCGGAAUUAUUGGGCGUAAAGCGUCCGCAGGUGGCUAUUCAAGUCUGCGGUCAAAGACUGGGGCUUAACCCUGGAAAGGCCGUGGAAACUGAAGAGCUAGAGUGCAGUAGGGGUAGAGGGAAUUCCCGGUGUAGCGGUGAAAUGCGUAGAGCUCGGGAAGAACAUCGGUGGCGAAAGCGCUCUGCUGGACUGCAACUGACACUCAGGGACGAAAGCUAGGGGAGCAAACAGG